GAUGAACGCUGGCGGCGUGCUUAACACAUGCAAGUCGAACGGGAAACCUAUUAUUGAAACUUCGGUCGAUUUAAUUUGUUUCUUAGUGGCGGACGGGUGAGUAACGCGUGGGCAACCUGCCUUUAACUGGGGGAUAACACCGGGAAACUGGUGCUAAUACCGCAUAACAUAUCGACGUGGCAUCACGAUGAUAUCAAAGGAGCAAUCCGGUUAUAGAUGGGCCCGCGUCCGAUUAGCUAGUUGGUGGUGUAAUGGACCACCAAGGCGACGAUCGGUAGCCGAACUGAGAGGUUGAUCGGCCACAUUGGGACUGAGACACGGCCCAGACUCCUACGGGAGGCAGCAGUGGGGAAUAUUGCGCAAUGGGGGAAACCCUGACGCAGCAACGCCGCGUGAAGGAUGAAGGUUUUCGGAUCGUAAACUUCUUUGAUUGGGGACGAAAAAAAUGACGGUACCCAAAAAACAAGCCACGGCUAACUACGUGCCAGCAGCCGCCGUAA
RNAcentral lists this ribosomal RNA (500 nucleotides) under uncultured bacterium. RNAcentral describes it as "partial 16S ribosomal RNA". It matches the Rfam family "Bacterial small subunit ribosomal RNA", at positions 28 to 523 of the family's 1533-position model. The record is from RNAcentral.